GAUGAAGAACGUAGCAAAAUGCGAUAAGUAAUGUGAAUUGCAGAAUUCAGUGAAUCAUCGAAUCUUUGAACGCACAUUGCGCCCGCCAGUAUUCUGGCGGGCAUGCCUGUUCGAGCGUCAUUUCAACCCUCAAGCACAGCUUGGUGUUGGGACUCGCGUUAAUUCGCGUUCCCCAAAUCGAUUGGCGGUCACGUCGAGCUUCCAUAGCGUAGUAGUAAAACCCUCGUUACUGGUAAUCGUCGCGGCCACGCCGUUAAACCCCAACUUCUGAAUGUUGACCUCGGAUCAGGUAGGAAUACCCGCUGAACUUAAGCAUAUCAAUAAGCGAGGA
Molecule: unclassified non-coding RNA, 331 nt
Filed under: soil metagenome
Description: partial contains 5.8S ribosomal RNA, internal transcribed spacer 2, and large subunit ribosomal RNA
Rfam family: 5.8S ribosomal RNA (bases 1-120)
Source: RNAcentral